Molecule: ribosomal RNA, 376 nt
Filed under: uncultured bacterium
Lineage: Bacteria
Description: bacterial SSU rRNA
Rfam family: Bacterial small subunit ribosomal RNA
Source: RNAcentral
GACAGAGGGUGCAAACGUUGCUCGGAAUUACUGGGCGUAAAGCGCGUGUAGGCGGUGCCGCACGUCGGGUGUGAAAGCCCGGGGCUCAACCCCGGAAGUGCACUCGAUACGACGGCGCUGGAGUCCUGAAGAGGAGAGCGGAAUUCCCGGUGUAGAGGUGAAAUUCGUAGAUAUCGGGAGGAACACCAGUGGCGAAGGCGGCUCUCUGGACAGGUACUGACGCUGAGACGCGAAAGCGUGGGUAGCAAACAGGAUUAGAUACCCUGGUAGUCCACGCCGUAAACGAUGAGUGCUGGGUGUCGCGGGUAUUGACCCCCGCGGUGCCGAAGCCAACGCGUUAAGCACUCCGCCUGGGAAGUACGGCCGCAAGGCUAAA